UACGUAGGGUGCAAGCGUUGUCCGGAAUUAUUGGGCGUAAAGAGCUCGUAGGCGGUCUGUCGCGUCUGCUGUGAAAACUCGGGGCUUAACCCCGGGCCUGCAGUGGGUACGGGCAGACUAGAGUGAUGUAGGGGAGACUGGAAUUCCUGGUGUAGCGGUGAAAUGCGCAGAUAUCAGGAGGAACACCGAUGGCGAAGGCAGGUCUCUGGGCAUUAACUGACGCUGAGGAGCGAAGGCAUGGGGAGCGAACAGG
This 253-nucleotide ribosomal RNA is filed under the name uncultured bacterium. Its description in RNAcentral is "partial 16S ribosomal RNA". It matches the Rfam family "Bacterial small subunit ribosomal RNA", at positions 524 to 776 of the family's 1533-position model. The record is from RNAcentral.